UAGGGAAUCUUCGGCAAUGGGGGCAACUCUGACCGAGCAACGCCGCGUGAGUGAAGAAGGUUUUCGGAUCGUAAAGCUCUGUUGUAAGAGAAGAACGUGUGUGAGAGUGGAAAGUUCAUACAGUGACGGUAACUAACCAGAAAGGGACGGCUAACUACGUGCCAGCAGCCGCGGUAAUACGUAGGUCCCGAGCGUUGUCCGGAUUUAUUGGGCGUAAAGCGAGCGCAGGUGGUUUAUUAAGUCUGAAGUAAAAGGCAGUGGCUUAACCAUUGUUCGCUUUGGAAACUGUUAGACUUGAGUGCAGAAGAGGAGAGUGGAAUUCCAUGUGUAGCGGUGAAAUGCGUAGAUAUAUGGAGGAACACCGGUGGCGAAAGCGGCUCUCUGGUCUGUAACUGACACUGAGGCUCGAAAGCGUGGGGAGCAAACAGG
Molecule: ribosomal RNA, 429 nt
Filed under: bacterium
Lineage: Bacteria
Description: partial 16S ribosomal RNA
Rfam family: Bacterial small subunit ribosomal RNA
Source: RNAcentral